GAUGAUUUCUAUACAGUCCACUCCAGUUCUGCUGUUCCCAUCAUUGUUGGUUUGGCUGUUUGUUUGGCUCUUUGCAUCGUGUCUAUUCUGUUACUUGUUUUCUUUCUGUUGAGUAAGUCACAAAUUAUUUGCAAUUCUUUGUGAAUAUCAAGUUCUCACAGGUUUCAUGAAAUAGUGAAUCGUGGAAAAUAAUGAUGUUUAUUUUGAUAAAGAUGUCAGUAUUUGUCAGAGGUCAAAGGUUAUGGUGUUGUUAAAACUGCAGUGCAAUCAGACUCAAAUGUCUGAUGUGCUGUGAUAUCUUCCAACAAUGGAAGUCACUCUUUUAUACUUUGAUAUUACUGCCUUUAUUUUUGCACAGAGAUCAAGAAAUAUCAUAGAGAUGACAACGAUAGAGAGAAAAACUGUUCUAAAAGAAAUAAAACUGCAGAUCAGUCUGUCACUAAAGAAGAAACAGAGAGAGUGACACUGAUGACGGUGCAGAUGAAGAAUGUGAACAAGAAAAAAAGGAAAAAAGAAGAGCAAACAUCAGAACAACACCAGCAUAGCACCUGACGUUGAGGUCGACCAACACGGCAAAUAUAUUCGUCUCAGAAACUCGUCCAAUGAGGAGCAACAACUGGGAGGAUGGAGGUUAGAAGUCCGGUUAAAUAAGACAGAAUCCUUCAUGUACACAUUUGAGAACUCAAUCAAACUACAGGCUGGAAACACUGUCACUUUGUGGGCUCCAGGUCGUGGUACCCAUUAUCCUCCCACUGACCUGUUGUGGAGUGACCUGAAGUUGAGCCCUGGAGACAAACUGCAGGUCACUCUCAUCAGCAACACUGGAGACAUUCACCAUAACUCAGAUCAUAUUAUCUCUGGAAGAUAAUAUUUAUUAGACAAUAUUAUUUUAUUUUAUAGACAUAUAUUUUAUUGUGAAAUCAACAACAUUUGAUCUUUUAUAUUUUAUGUUUGUUUAAAAUGAGGCAACAGGUUUGCUUUUAUUUUUUGCUACUCUUCAUUGAUUAGUAAGAAUAAAAAUCUUAAAUAUUGAAUUGCUAGCCACGGGGUUAGGACUGAAGGUAAAAUAAACUGGAAUGCAACUUUUGUUCUGUAUUUUUACUGAAUUGAAUCUAUAUGUUAACAUUUAUUCUCCAUUGACACACACAGUUUCUGGUUUGGACAGUAAAGAUAUUAUUUUUUAUUCUGUUUUGUAUUGUUUGUAAAUGAGUUCAUACUCUCAGUUUAGAAUUAUCUGCUCCAUGUUUCUGUAAUAAAGAGGUUUAUUUCAACCCUGUGGCACUUUCAAUAGUCCAAAUGCUGAUUAAUUAUUCUCUUAAUUAUUAA
Long non-coding RNA from Dicentrarchus labrax (European seabass), 1326 nucleotides. RefSeq lists it as uncharacterized. The record is from RefSeq and is a predicted model, not a curated record. The transcript is spliced from 4 exons. NCBI's taxonomy places the organism in Eukaryota, Metazoa, Chordata, Actinopteri, Moronidae.